Molecule: ribosomal RNA, 413 nt
Filed under: uncultured Thermoplasmatales archaeon
Lineage: Archaea; Methanobacteriati; Thermoplasmatota; Thermoplasmata; Thermoplasmatales
Description: bacterial SSU rRNA
Rfam family: Archaeal small subunit ribosomal RNA
Source: RNAcentral
AGCUGUAACGAUGCGGGUUAGGUGUCGGAGGUACUACGAGGGCGCCCGGUGCCGGAGGAAGUUGUUAAACCUGCCGCCUGGGGAGUACGGUCGCAAGGCUGAAACUUAAAGGAAUUGGCGGGGGAGCACCGCAACGGGUGGAGCGUGCGGUUCAAUUGGAUUCAACGCCGGAAAACUCACCGGGGGCGACGGUUAAAUGAAGGCCAGGUUGACGACUUUGCCUGAUUUUCUGAGAGGAGGUGCAUGGCCGUCGUCAGUUCGUACCGUAAGGCGUUCUCUUAAGUCAGAUAACGAACGAGACCCUCGCUGCUAAUUGCCAACCCGUCCUCGAGGAUGGGAGCACAUUAUCGGGACCGCUGGCGCUAAAUCAGAGGAAGGAGAGGUCAACGGUAGGUCCGCAUGGCCCCCUAAAA